This 252-nucleotide non-coding RNA is filed under the name Pseudobutyrivibrio ruminis. RNAcentral's name for it is "Bacterial small subunit ribosomal RNA". It matches the Rfam family "Bacterial small subunit ribosomal RNA", at positions 1 to 235 of the family's 1533-position model. The record is from Rfam by way of RNAcentral. Lineage: Bacteria; Bacillati; Bacillota; Clostridia; Lachnospirales; Lachnospiraceae.
UAACAUGAGAGUUUGAUCCUGGCUCAGGAUGAACGCUGGCGGCGUGCUUAACACAUGCAAGUCGAACGAAGCAACUUAUUACGAUCCCUUCGGGGUGACGAUUUGUUGACUGAGUGGCGGACGGGUGAGUAACGCGUGGGUAACCUACCUUGUACAGGGGGACAACAGUUGGAAACGACUGCUAAUACCGCAUAAGCGCACAGCUUCGCAUGAAGCAGUGUGAAAAGUUUUUCGGUACAAGAUGGACCCGCG